RNAcentral lists this ribosomal RNA (406 nucleotides) under uncultured bacterium. RNAcentral's name for it is "partial 16S ribosomal RNA". It matches the Rfam family "Bacterial small subunit ribosomal RNA", at positions 28 to 526 of the family's 1533-position model. The record is from RNAcentral.
GUUGAACGCUGGCGGCAGGCUUAACACAUGCAAGUCGAACGAGUGGCGGACGGGUGAGUAGUGCUUGGGAAUCUCGCUUAUGGAGGGGGAUAACUGCGGGCAACUGUUGCUACUACCGCGUACCAUAGGCUGAGCCCAAGUGGGAUUAGGUAGUUGGUGAGGUAAAGGCUCACCAAGCCCACGAUCUCUAGCUGGUCUGAGAGGAUGACCAGCAACCCUGGGACUGAGACAGGGCCCAGACUCCUACGGGAGGCAGCAGUGGGGAAUAUUGCACAAUGGGCGCAAGCCUGAUGCAGCCAUGCCGCGUGUAUGAAGAAGGCCUUAGGGUUGUAAAGGACUUUCAGCGGGGAGGCGUUACCCGCAGAAGAAGCACCGGCUAACUCCGUGCCAGCCGCCGCGGUAAUAC